RNAcentral lists this ribosomal RNA (515 nucleotides) under uncultured bacterium. RNAcentral describes it as "partial 16S ribosomal RNA". It matches the Rfam family "Bacterial small subunit ribosomal RNA", at positions 28 to 523 of the family's 1533-position model. The record is from RNAcentral.
GAUGAACGCUGGCGGCGUGCCUAAUACAUGCAAGUCGAGCGAAUGGAUUAAGAGCUUGCUCUUAUGAAGUUAGCGGCGGACGGGUGAGUAACACGUGGGUAACCUGCCCAUAAGACUGGGAUAACUCCGGGAAACCGGGGCUAAUACCGGAUAACAUUUUGAACCGCAUGGUUCGAAAUUGAAAGGCGGCUUCGGCUGUCACUUAUGGAUGGACCCGCGUCGCAUUAGCUAGUUGGUGAGGUAACGGCUCACCAAGGCAACGAUGCGUAGCCGACCUGUGAGGGGGAUGGGCCACUCUGGGACUGAGACACGGCCCAGACUCCUACGGGGGGCAGCAGUAGGGAAUGUUCCGCAAUGGACGAAAGUCUGACGGAGCAACGCCGCGUGAGUGAUGAAGGCUUUCGGGUCGUAAAACUCUGUUGUUAGGGAAGAACAAGUGCUAGUUGAAUAAGCUGGCACCUUGACGGUACCUAACCAGAAAGCCACGGCUAACUACGUGCCAGCCGCCGCCGUAA